This 88-nucleotide transfer RNA is filed under the name Desulfuromonadales bacterium. RNAcentral's name for it is "tRNA-Ser". It matches the Rfam family "tRNA". Rfam says of the family: Transfer RNA (tRNA) molecules are approximately 80 nucleotides in length. Their secondary structure includes four short double-helical elements and three loops (D, anti-codon, and T loops). Lineage: Bacteria; Pseudomonadati; Thermodesulfobacteriota; Desulfuromonadia; Desulfuromonadales. The record is from RNAcentral.
GGAGAGAUGGCCGAGUGGUCGAAGGCGCCUGACUCGAAAUCAGGUAUAGUGAAAGCUAUCUAGGGUUCGAAUCCCUAUCUCUCCGCCA